Long non-coding RNA from Triticum aestivum (bread wheat), 2060 nucleotides. RefSeq lists it as uncharacterized. NCBI's taxonomy places the organism in Eukaryota, Viridiplantae, Streptophyta, Magnoliopsida, Poales, Poaceae. The transcript has 4 exons. The record is from RefSeq and is a predicted model, not a curated record.
CAUCCGACCAUUCUUUUUCCCAACCCAGCACUACACAUCCGCUGCCUCCUCUCAUCCUCUGCAUGGGCGCGCACCCCCAUCCUCCCCAACCUGGUCGCCGGCGGGCCGCUGCUCCCUCUCCUCCAUCUCUGCACGGGCGCGCACCCCCAUUCUCCCCAACCUAGUCGCCGGCCAGCCCCUACGCGACGUCGUUCAUCGAGCUAGGGUUGGAGCAGCUCGGCGGCGAUGAGGAGCAGGCCAGCCCUCUCAAGAGGGUCGUCCACACCGUUGCCGUUGGUGACUUUCAGGGGCAGUCGGCACCUCUCCUCUCUAAUCGCGACUCCGGCGACGUCGGCCAGGACGUUCGCCAUCGGCGCAAACGCGGUGGAGAUGUAGGGCUCCUUGAGGGAGAGGUCGAUGCUGAGUUGUGCCUGUUGAAGCACGACGGAGAGGGGGAGGCCUUCCGGCCACCGCCGGCGUCCGCCAUGGGGCCGUCUCAGCCUCAGCUUCUGAUCGAGGUGCAGCUCCAGCAGCACCGGCAGUUUGCUGCGGGUCAUCAUCAGAGCGCAGUUCAUCUUCCAAAUCAUGCCCCGACCCCGGCUGCAUCUCCCCUUCCGCCACAUGAACGCCUUGGGUGUGGUCUUUUAGUCCUCACUGGUGAGCCCCUCCAUAUUAUUUUGUAUAGGGCUUCAGCGGCUGCUGCUUGCUUCUGUUUUAGGUGGUUGCCGCUUUGACAGGCGUUUGUGAAGCGAAUCAGGUUCGUUCUUCGGUUCGCUGAAGUGGCCGGGGAUUAUUCCGGACGUGGGACUCUGAGGCGCCGCUUCUUCGUGGGUAUUUUGUUGCUGCUUUUGUUUCUUUAUUGGAUAUGCCUCCAAUUUAAGCGCGCUGGCGAUGGCAAGAAGUUCGGCGUGGAAAGCGACCAGAUGGUUCCUUUCGUGGUAUUUGACCGGCUGUGCAGUGUGCAGUCGAGUAGUGUGACCUCAGGCUGGACGGAACGAGCGGGCUUUUGGGCCUGCUCGUGGCCUGUUAAGGACCGGACCGUACGGUUCAGGACCGGCGGAAAAACUGGUCGGUCCGGGCUGGCAUUUUCGGCCCGAAAAAAUCUCGGUCGGUCCGGUCUUUAACCGAGCCGCUCGGUCAGACCGAGAAGACGCAGUCACCGCUGGCACCGUUCCUCGUCAUCGCGGCCAUCGGCAGUCCCCGGGUGAACCAUCGUGUCCUUGAGCUUCCUCUCUUCAUCCUUCCUCUUCACCCCAUGCGCCGUGGCCUCUUGCCGCUGCUUGCCAUUGUUGUUGUGCGUGCACUACUGCCGAUCUGGAGUUCUCGAGCCUCGACCAUGGCCUCUACUCAAAGGAACGGGAAUUGCGGCCGUGCCAUCCCACGUCCACGAGCUGAAAUCGUGCCAUCCCACGACCUCCCACAACGGCCUCAUCUAACUAACCUGAAACUAAGAUAAGACGUGGAUAUGCACACCUUGCAUGGCGCGUUAUUUCAGCACAGCAUGCACACCGGCCAGGCGGCCACCAGCUACCCAGGUAGGCGAACGCCACGCUGGUGCCACAGGAAGAACUGGGGCACGAUCUCGAAUGCUCUGAAAGUGGCCCGGUUAUAUCGAAUUACGAGCUGAAUAAAAGGAAGAGCAGAAAGACAGUUGUGCGUCGCAGAAUCCUCUCCACUUAAUGCGUUCGUGCGUGUCUUCUUUCUCUUUUACUUUCUCGCGUGACCUCCCGUGUGUGUGUUGAUUCAGUUCUUGAUCUAACACGUAGCCCACCUCGAAGCUGCAUGCGCGCACAUCAACGCCGAUGGCUGGCCGGUCCAUUCGGUCCAUUCGGUCUAGCCCGGGCUUCACCGUCGCCGGUCCGGUCCAUAAAAGUAGGACCGCUCGGUUGCUCGGUCCGGUCCGGUCCGGACCGCCGCCGGCCGGUCCGAACGACGGCUCGGUCAAGGACCGGACCGGACCGGACCGUGUCCACCCUAAGUGUGACCUGAUGAUUUUUUAUUUCCGUCUUUGGUUUCCGGUUCUGAUGGUUUGGGGGAUCUCUGCUCCCUGUGCUAUGUGAUCUUAUUUUUGGAAAUAUGCC